UUCGAAAUACGAGUACCCAUAUACACACGAUUUGUUAGGAGUUACAUGCCAGACAUACAAAAAUACUCGUACACAUUAGCUCAAUAAUUUUCCUGAUUUCGGUUAAAUAUAAUGAAACGACGGGCAUCACAGACCGCCCAUGUGCGACCAUGUGCCAAGAGGCUGUACCUUGGCAAGCGCCUUGGAGCUGUAAACCAACCAACUGCCGUGAAAAAAUUGCGACGCAAUGGACUGGAGACACCACCGGAGACACCUGUUGACUCUUCCUCGGAGUACGCUGUUGUGGUGCACUGGACUCGCGCUCAACGCAACAAAUUUCCAUCUAUCACACUGGAGACGCCCUGGUAGAGAGUUCGAAUAAACAUAUAUCAUACGCGAAUAUAAAAUUAUCUCAACAAAUUUGGAGACGUCACAGCUAUUCAUCGGAUUUGACGAAGGCACAGCGUAGGUGGAAAGCCAAAAGGUCCUUGAUUCGGAUUACUACUCGUAGUUGUGGCUCAUUGCUUACAGACCAGACUUUUGAAUGGGAUGGAUGGGAUGGAAUUGUGUGGAAAGGAUGCCAGCAUCUAGCUCCGAGUGGGUUCUGGCGAAGACUUAAAAAAUAAAAUAUUUAAUGCUGUCAGCUUUGCUGUUGGCCGCGUGUGAUAAAUACACAUGUA
Molecule: long non-coding RNA, 659 nt
Organism: Drosophila pseudoobscura
Lineage: Eukaryota; Metazoa; Arthropoda; Insecta; Diptera; Drosophilidae
Exons: 2
Source: RefSeq, a predicted model, not a curated record